Gavialis gangeticus (Gharial) is the source of this 136-nucleotide long non-coding RNA. RefSeq lists it as uncharacterized. The transcript has 3 exons. The record is from RefSeq and is a predicted model, not a curated record. Lineage: Eukaryota; Metazoa; Chordata; Crocodylia; Gavialidae.
GAGCUGUGUGCCUGGCAUGUGAGACAGGGGAAGGGGGGGGCACUCACCUGUCCCCUUCUUCCAUGAGGCAGGGACCCCCCAGCCCCUAUAGUGGCACAAUGCCGUCGGCGAGCCCUUCUGCGCAUUCACACAGUUU